Molecule: ribosomal RNA, 484 nt
Filed under: uncultured bacterium
Lineage: Bacteria
Description: partial 16S ribosomal RNA
Rfam family: Bacterial small subunit ribosomal RNA
Source: RNAcentral
GACGAACGCUGGCGGCGUGCUUAACACAUGCAAGUCGAACGAUGAAGCUGGAGCUUGCUCUGGCGGAUUAGUGGCGAACGGGUGAGUAACACGUGAGAAGUCUGCCCUUGGCUCUGGGAUAACUGCGGGAAACUGUAGCUAAUACCGGAUACUUUCCCUGGUGGGCAUCCACUGGGGAAGAAAGAAUUUCGGUCAAGGAUGAUCUCGCGGCCUAUCAGCUUGUUGGUGAGGUAAUGGCUCACCAAGGCGACGACGGGUAGCCGGCCUGAGAGGGUGACCGGCCACACUGGGACUGAGACACUGCCCAGACUCCUACGGGAGGCAGCAGUGGGGAAUAUUGCACAAUGGGCGCAAGCCUGAUGCAGCAACGCCGCGUGAGGGAUGAAGGCCUUCGGGUUGUAAACCUCUUUUAGCAGGGAAGAAGCGAAAGUGACGGUACCUGCAGAAAAAGCACCGGCUAACUACGUGCCAGCCGCCGCCGUAA